This 2038-nucleotide long non-coding RNA is filed under the name Populus trichocarpa (black cottonwood). Its description in RNAcentral is "long non-coding RNA (PTRI_LNC000224)". The record is from RNAcentral. Lineage: Eukaryota; Viridiplantae; Streptophyta; Magnoliopsida; Malpighiales; Salicaceae.
AAAGAGUGGGAAUGAGAGAGAGAAAAAAGAAGAAGAAGAAGAAGAAAAUGGGGCUGAAAAACUUCACUGCCAUUUUUCAAAAUCAGACGACCCGUUUCCUUUCAAAGGGUAGCCAAAAAGUUCCCAUACACACCCAUUAGCGAGCUUCUUCUUUACCAAAAAAAAAACUAAAAAAAUUAGAUCAUCAUUUUCAAACCACCUUCUAGCUAGAACUGGAAACAAAAAAACAGUACAGACUCUCUCAUCAGCGCUGUCUCUUUACGCCACCCUCGAGUUACUACUAUCUUGCCCCACGUUGACUCAAGGAACCAUAGCCGCUGCUUCCACAGUACCGUUAACCUGAGGUGUUCAUUACCGGAAUCAUAACACAAGGCAGGCCAGGAGCCCACUCACAUCGUCCAUGUGCAUCUUCAGCGUGCUCGUUUUACAUUCUUGCCUCUGACCUCUCUGGACUUAGCUUUAUUCAAGCACUAGCCACUCAAAAAAAGAGUGAAGAUGAGGUACGGGAUAUCCAGUGGAGCUGUCUCCAUCAUAAUCACUCAAGGUAUAAAGCUUCUACCUAUUCUCAUGUAGUUGUAAUCUUUUACAUGUGCAUGCUACUGCAAAGGCAAGCUCCCGUUUUUCCUUUAUGUGCUAUGAAGUUAACAUAUAGUGUUGUAAGGUGUGUGGAUCGUCUUUUAAGUCCUAACCUGGUCACGGGUGUUCUUUCACUUGCUACGGGUACUGAAGGGGAUGGGGUGUGAUUUUUCCUUCAAGCGCAUAUGGUCUUGAAAACUUGAUUGCAUGUCCUAAGUUCAUGUUAAGACCUUGCCUAGUUAAUUAAGAAUGCUCUUACCCAAGGUUAAAGUUCAAGAACGGUAUGAGAAUGCUCUCUCAUUUUAUUUAGAUCGCUCAUUGAUUAUAAUAUUGUUGACUUAUUUUAUUAGAUUUUAAUGUAAUUUAAUUUCUUGACUAGAAUUAUCAGUAUAUAAUUAGUUAAAAAAUUAUUUAUGAUUUUAUGAUUUUACGAUCUGAGUUUAUUUUAUAUUUUUCGUGUCGUGUCAAAAAAUAUUUUUGACAACCUUGAACCCAGGAUCUUGACUUUAUUGAUCCACAAUCCCCAAACCAUAUUCGCAAACUAAAACUUUUUUUAUAUAGUUUAAAACAAGCACCUCGUGCAUGUAUUGAUUGCUUAGUGAAUUCUUAGUUUCUCAAUGGAUUUUAUAUUCGUAAAUUUUUAAGUGAACCCAGGUUAUAUUAUCAUGAUAACUAAAAUAAAAUGAGCUAAAUUUAUUUAUAAAAUGAGCACCACACGCUUAGAUUUAAAUUCCAUAGAAAGAUUAGCACCUGAUGACAAGUUAACUCGGGAAACAAAGGUAAUAACAAUGUUUUGAGAUUGAAUUCGACACUAGGUCUACUUAGUAGUUAGUACAUAUAAGUUGAAGGAUUGCUACCUUGACCAAUGAACUGAAAAUAUCUUUAAUUUAUAAUGAAUGGCAUACACCAUACAGUUUUACCAUAUCAACAGCAUGAAAAUUGAUAAUCGAUCCUUUAGGGAUAUUAUUCCAUUUCUUUAUUAAUUAUCAUAAAAACAUUUAUUAAAUGUGUUGUCCUCCAACUCUUUCCAUAAAAAGAAAGAGUUGUGAACCACAACAUACAUUUGAUCAUGGACAAAAGGUAAUCAAAUAGUUGCCUCCACUAGGACAAGUAAACGUGCUCGAUUUAUCAUCAAAAGCAUAACUAUAAGCUUGAGGACACUGCUGCUUGAAAGUCAUCGAAUAUUGGGUAGGAGGACAUGUUUCAGCUGUAUUAUGGUCUCCUGUGCAGCAGUACUGCGGCUGGUUAAAUGCCAAACACGCACUCUUGCAGGCAAUCACAGUCCCAUCUGAACCUUUCACUGCUAAACUAGGAUCACAAACAGCAUUCACGUUAGCUGCACAGCUUGUAGAAGGGCAGCCAGUAGAACCUCCUUGCGGGGUUACCGAAAUUGGGAGGUUAAAGCCAUCAACAAGGCUUAUAUCGUAAUAAUCUUUCCCACCAUCACCGCUUAGAGUAAAUU